This 373-nucleotide ribosomal RNA is filed under the name uncultured organism. RNAcentral describes it as "partial 16S ribosomal RNA". It matches the Rfam family "Bacterial small subunit ribosomal RNA", at positions 527 to 896 of the family's 1533-position model. The record is from RNAcentral.
GUAGGUGGCAAGCGUUGUCCGGAAUUAUUGGGCGUAAAGCGCGCGCAGGCGGUUCUUUAAGUCUGAUGUGAAAGCCCACGGCUCAACCGUGGAGGGUCAUUGGAAACUGGAGAACUUGAGUACAGAAGAGGAAAGCGGAAUUCCACGUGUAGCGGUGAAAUGCGUAGAGAUGUGGAGGAACACCAGUGGCGAAGGCGGCUUUCUGGUCUGUAACUGACGCUGAGGCGCGAAAGCGUGGGGAGCAAACAGGGAUUAGAUACCCUGGUAGUCCACGCCGUAAACGAUGAGUGCUAAGUGUUAGGGGGGUUUCCGCCCCCUUAGUGCUGCAGCUAACGCGUUAAGCACUCCGCCUGGGGAUACGGCCGCAAGGCUG